This 236-nucleotide ribosomal RNA is filed under the name uncultured bacterium. Its description in RNAcentral is "partial 16S ribosomal RNA". It matches the Rfam family "Bacterial small subunit ribosomal RNA", at positions 118 to 347 of the family's 1533-position model. The record is from RNAcentral.
UGAGCAACCUGCCCUUGACCCUGGAAUAACAGCUGGAAACAGCUGCUAAUACCGGAUAUGACCUCCGAUGGCAUCAUCUGGAGGUGGAAAGCUCCGACGGUCAAGGAUGGGCUCGCGGCCUAUCAGCUUGUUGGUGAGGUAACGGCUCACCAAGGCUUCGACGGGUAGCCGGCCUGAGAGGGCGACCGGCCACACGUGGGACUGAGAUACCGGCCCAGACCUCGUAACCGGGGAGG